CCUACGGGUGGCAGCAGUGGGGAAUAUUGCGCAAUGGGCGAAAGCCUGACGCAGCGACGCCGCGUGAGGGAUGAAGGUCUUCGGAUCGUAAACCUCUGUUAGCAGGGAAGAACGGUCACUGUGCUAAUCAGCAGUGAAUUGACGGUACCUGCAAAGGAAGCACCGGCUAACUCCGGGCCAGCAGCCGCGGUAAUACGGAGGGGGCGAGCGUUAAGCGGAAUUACUGGGCGUAAAGCGCUCGUAGGCGGUAUGUCAAAUCAAGGGGGAAAUCCCCGCGCUCAACGUGGGAACUGCCUUUGAAACUGGAGAACUGGAGUGUGUGAGAGGAUAGUGGAAUUCCAGGUGUAGGAGUGAAAUCCGUAGAUAUCUGGAGGAACAUCAGUGGCGAAGGCGACUAUCUGGCACAUAACUGACGCUGAGGAGCGAAAGCGUGGGUAGCAAACAGGAUUAGAUACCCCAGUAGUC
RNAcentral lists this ribosomal RNA (465 nucleotides) under uncultured bacterium. RNAcentral describes it as "partial 16S ribosomal RNA". It matches the Rfam family "Bacterial small subunit ribosomal RNA", at positions 338 to 795 of the family's 1533-position model. The record is from RNAcentral.